AUACGGAGGGUGCGAGCGUUGUCCGGAUUUAUUGGGUUUAAAGGGUGCGUAGGCUGGAAGGUCAGUCAGCGGUGAAAAGCUAUCGCUCAACGAUAGUCUUGCCGCAGAUACUUCCUUUCUUGGAUUAGGAGGAGGUCACCGGAACGGAUGGUGUAGCGGUGAAAUGCAUAGAUAUCAUCCAGAACGCCAAUUGCGAAGGCAGGUGACUGUACCUAUAUCGACGCUGAUGCACGAAAGCAUGGGGAGCGAACAGGAUUAGAUACCCUGGUAGUCCAUGCCGUAAACGAUGAGGACUAGCUGUUGGGGACUUUGUCUUCAGCGGCACAGGGAAACCGUUAAGUCCUCCACCUGGGGAGUACGCCGGCAACGGUGAA
This 374-nucleotide ribosomal RNA is filed under the name uncultured bacterium. RNAcentral's name for it is "bacterial SSU rRNA". It matches the Rfam family "Bacterial small subunit ribosomal RNA", at positions 523 to 898 of the family's 1533-position model. The record is from RNAcentral.